AAUACGUGCAAUUUUGCACUGUUCAUAUUUAACGUUUGACCGUUCAUCUUAUUUGAAAUUUUUUUAUGAUUAAUAUUUUUAUUGUUAUUAGAUGAUAAAACAUCAAUAGUACUUUAUGUGCGUGUGUUCAUAGGGGUGAGUGGCGUGCAUUGUGAGUGUCUGCGUAGUACUGUGUAAUUCUAAAAAAAAGUACUUUAUGUGUGAUAUUUUUUUAAUUUUUUUCAUAAAUUUUUAAAUAAGAUGAACGGUCAAAGAUCAGACGUGGAUUUUCAUGGCUGCACUUAUU
This is a non-coding RNA of Oryza glumipatula, 286 nucleotides long. Lineage: Eukaryota; Viridiplantae; Streptophyta; Magnoliopsida; Poales; Poaceae. The record is from Rfam.